GGGAAUUUUGCGCAAUGGGGGAAACCCUGACGCAGCAACGCCGCGUGGAGGAUGAAGUAUCUUGGUACGUAAACUCCUUUCGAUGGGGAAGAUAAUGACGGUACCCAUAGAAGAAGCCCCGGCUAACUUCGUGCCAGCAGCCGCGGUAAUACGAGGGGGGCAAGCGUUGUUCGGAUUUAUUGGGCGUAAAGGGUGCGUAGGCGGUUUGGCAAGUCUUAUGUGAAAUCUUCGGGCUCAACCCGAAGCCUGCAUGAGAAACUACCGGGCUUGAGUAUGGGAGAGGUGAGUGGAAUUUCCGGUGUAGCGGUGAAAUGCGUAGAUAUCGGAAGGAACACCUGUGGCGAAAGCGGCUCACUGGACCAUAACUGACGCUGAUGCACGAAAGCUAGGGGAGCAAAC
Molecule: ribosomal RNA, 399 nt
Filed under: uncultured bacterium
Lineage: Bacteria
Description: bacterial SSU rRNA
Rfam family: Bacterial small subunit ribosomal RNA
Source: RNAcentral